UAGCACAUGUUUAGAGAUUAACAUUUUAAUAGUGAAUUAAUUCAAUAAAGUAUCACAUACAUGUUUAGUUGUUCAAAAAAUUGACGAACUCCUGAAGAUGCUCCGAAAGGAGCGAAACCGGUAGAGUGAUAAUAAACACAUUUCACCUUUAA
This 152-nucleotide long non-coding RNA is filed under the name Onthophagus taurus. RNAcentral's name for it is "uncharacterized LOC111419701". Lineage: Eukaryota; Metazoa; Arthropoda; Insecta; Coleoptera; Scarabaeidae. The record is from RNAcentral.